GUCCCUAUAGUGCAAUGGCCAGCACGUUGGACUUCUAAUCCAAAAGUCGUGGGUUCGAAUCCUACCUGGGACG
This is a non-coding RNA of Trichonephila clavipes, 73 nucleotides long. The record is from the annotation of a GenBank genome assembly. Lineage: Eukaryota; Metazoa; Arthropoda; Arachnida; Araneae; Nephilidae.